ACAUUACUCGAUGCUACACAGUUUUCUCCCUCUCGGAAUAACUUUGAACCUGCUUACUGUAUGCAUCUCAUAGUCCCCUUCAACAACUUUCGCAACCUACACGUCUCCUGCUAUACUAAACUGGCGAUCUUUUGUCUCUUUCAGUCAAGUGAUGCCAGAAAUUUCUUUACACCACAUUUGUAUUCAGUACCUCACCUUACUCACAGUGGGUGCUGAGAAUAAGAAAUAUACCAAAUCUCAAUUUUUUAAUCUGAAAAUGGUUUGUGAAAUAUGGCUAUGUAAAAUUUUCAAAAACUUGCCCAAACACCGUGAAUGGACUCCUAUUUAAACAGCUCUAGCAGCUGUCCUGAUUGAACUGGAGAGCUGGACGAUGUGCAGGCUUGGAAGGGGAGGUAACAUCCACAUCGGACAAACUGAAGUUACAAGGCAUAUCAGUCUACAUUACCACUGUGUAUGACAAAAACUGGUGGCUUUGGUACAUUUUAGAAAAAAAAGGAAGAACUUGAUGAAGUGAAAAUAAUUUUUUUUUCAUCCAUGUGGACCAGCUACAUCAGUCUCAUGUCAUACAUAUGCAGAUGUCCUGUGGAUGUCAGUUUUUGGUUAACUGGUUUCAACUCAAAACUUAAUUUUUCCUAAGAUGCUGUCCAUUCCGUUCAACUGCUCUUCCAAGUCCUUAGCUGUCUCUGGCAGAACUACAAUGUCACAUUUAUUGACUGUUCUGUUGAUUCUUGGUAGAAUAUUUUAUACAUUAUGAAUGAAAC
Long non-coding RNA from Schistocerca serialis cubense, 761 nucleotides. RefSeq lists it as uncharacterized. The record is from RefSeq and is a predicted model, not a curated record. NCBI's taxonomy places the organism in Eukaryota, Metazoa, Arthropoda, Insecta, Orthoptera, Acrididae. The transcript has 3 exons.